Long non-coding RNA from Mastomys coucha (southern multimammate mouse), 1343 nucleotides. RefSeq lists it as uncharacterized. The record is from RefSeq and is a predicted model, not a curated record. The transcript has 4 exons. Lineage: Eukaryota; Metazoa; Chordata; Mammalia; Rodentia; Muridae.
UGACGCAAGCCAGGGUGCCCCUGGAGCUGGUCCAGAUGUCUGCCCCUUCCCUAUCCUGUCCCUCUGAGAUCCUUCUAGUCGCAGUAGGAACCCCUUCCUAUGCCUGGAUCAUCUGCCUGCUAAAGGCAGCUAACCCCUGUCCAUCUCUGAUCCCAGGACCAUGGAAAGUUCUGGCUAUCCCCAGUGCUUGAGGUAUGGUGCGCUCUGUCCCUUUUGGGUUCGUGUUUGGAAACCUGGUCCCAGCAUGGUGUGAUUCAAGAGGCUAAGGAGACUCUCAGAGGUGUGGCUUCCUGAGAGGUCUUAGGUCUGGAUUGAUAUGUUCCCCUCAGAAGGAAUUAAGACAUUUUUGGGAAAGGAAAAGUACUGUGCCUACAGGCAUGGCUUCCUGGAAGUUCCCAGCAACUGAUUUUUCUAGAUGUUUCCCAGUUCUUCCAGAAUCUUGAUCAUUGUUUAAAACUGACUUUUCCCAAAGCGAAAGACUUGGGAGAAUCGCAGAGCAAUUAGACAGCACUGAACUCUGCCUCCUUCCCAGGCCCACACAAGGAUUUGCAGCUGAACCGGCCCAGGGAAUGACCUCCCUGGCCUCUGCUUCUGGGGACUGCUGAAUGCAGGCAGGAAGGUUAGAUACAGCCUUCCUUCUGUGUUCCUACAUGACUGUCAUGUGGAUUCCAGACACAAAGGGAGACGGUAACCCCAGUGUUCCUGUACUACCCUGGGAGGGGUGGGAGGGGCCCAUGUGGAGAGACGCUGCCCUCUCUGGAAACAGCCACUUCUCUGUGUUCUCAUCGCCGGGACAAAAUGCCCCAGUAAAACCUGGGCAGAAGGAUUUGUUUAGGCUCAUGGGUUUGCAGAUUUCCACGGUCAUCGGGCUCUGUGGCUGUGAGCCUCAGAGCAUCAUGGCAGAAGAAAGCUAUUCACAUCAUGACAUCUAGGACGAGGAAGGGCCUCCAGGGAGGAGGCCACAUCCUUGGUGACUCACUUCCUCCAGGUCUCAUUCCUCCCUUCCCACCACCACCAAUGAGGCCACCAUGUUGUGAAUCCUUCAAGGGAUCAAUUGAUUGAUCUGAUCAGAGCCAUCGAGAGCCAAUCCCCUCACCAAAACCCACCAGGCAGGGACCAUGCCUUUAACUCAUGAACCUUUGAGACACUUCUCACCCAAACCACAACAGCCUCUUAUGUGUAGAGAUGGUGUCCAUCAGCUCAGAAGGGAUGCCAGAGGCCAAAGAGGCUCUUCACCGAGACCCAGGUCAUUUCAACGGCUCAAAGCAAACCACAGCUGGAAGAUAAAGUGCCCCUGACAUUAGGAGAUUGCCUAUAAUAUACAAGAUUAAUGUAUUCCCUAA